This 433-nucleotide long non-coding RNA is filed under the name Manihot esculenta (cassava). RNAcentral describes it as "long non-coding RNA (MESC_LNC002135)". Lineage: Eukaryota; Viridiplantae; Streptophyta; Magnoliopsida; Malpighiales; Euphorbiaceae. The record is from RNAcentral.
AGAGCCCUAGGUUCAUAUGGUCGGACCUAGAGUGUCGGGCUCAUAGAUGUUAUAGAAGGUCAAGCACAAUAGGAAAGGUCAUGUCCACUAGGAUAGGAUGUGGAGUCCUGUCUUGUAUGAUGAUGUGAAAUGCCAUGAUUAUAUACAUGUACAUUAAUGCUAUGAUAUGAAUGAUAUGUAUGUGAUGCGGGUUCAUGUGUGCCCACAUGAACCAUAUGAUGCUAACGUUUAUGUGAUGUGUACUGUUUUUCAGAAAACAGGAUGAGAGGAACUCGUCGAUCUGCACGAUUGACUGGAGUGCCACCUGAGGAUGAGGGCAUGAGCGCCCGUCCUCCUGCAUUGCCUAGGGCAAUGUCUAGUAGGGCUAGCAGAGAAAGAGCAGCAAAAGACCCUAGAAGGUCUCUGGAUCUGGGUAGAAGCAGAUAAGUGAGGG